Molecule: long non-coding RNA, 351 nt
Filed under: Populus trichocarpa (black cottonwood)
Lineage: Eukaryota; Viridiplantae; Streptophyta; Magnoliopsida; Malpighiales; Salicaceae
Description: long non-coding RNA (PTRI_LNC002877)
Source: RNAcentral
GAUGAAAGAAUUUACGCUUAUGGGUCAAUCAAAAAAACCUCAAAUCAACCCCAGAAAACAACCCAUCGGAGGAAAAAAAGAAGGCAAAGAGCAUGUACGAGCAUCUGAAUGCAAAAGACCGUAUGGUGAAGACGGCAACUGCAAGCAUGAUAACUCGCUAUAAGAAAAUAAAUAUGGGCAACUAAAAGGACCGAUUGCGCUAUCUAAAUUAGCACAUCAGUGACGCGUUGCCUUUUUCUUUAAACAAAACAAAAGGAUCCGGUAAAUAUAAUACCACCUGCAUAAUCACACUGCUAAGCACAGAGAAAGACCGUCGCCAGCCAUGUUCUGCAGCGGAGCAGAAAGUUUAAG